GAGUAAUGUCUGGGAAACUGCCUGAUGGAGGGGGAUAACUACUGGAAACGGUGGCUAAUACCGCAUAACGUCGCAAGACCAAAGAGGGGGACCUUCGGGCCUCUUGCCAUCAGAUGUGCCCAGAUGGGAUUAGCUUGUUGGUGAGGUAACGGCUCACCAAGGCGACGAUCCCUAGCUGGUCUGAGAGGAUGACCAGCCACACUGGAACUGAGACACGGUCCAGACUCCUACGGGAGGCAGCAGUGGGGAAUAUUGCACAAUGGGCGCAAGCCUGAUGCAGCCAUGCCGCGUGUAUGAAGAAGGCCUUCGGGUUGUAAAGUACUUUCAGCGGGGAGGAAGGUGUUGCGGUUAAUAACCGCAGCAAUUGACGUUACCCGCAGAAGAAGCACCGGCUAACUCCGUGCCAGCAGCCGCGGUAAUACGGAGGGUGCAAGCGUUAAUCGGAAUUACUGGGCGUAAAGCGCACGCAGGCGGUCUGUCAAGUCGGAUGUGAAAUCCCCGGGCUCAACCUGGGAACUGCAUUCGAAACUGGCAGGCUUGAGUCUUGUAGAGGGGGGUAGAAUUCCAGGUGUAGCGGUGAAAUGCGUAGAGAUCUGGAGGAAUACCGGUGGCGAAGGCGGCCCCCUGGACAAAGACUGACGCUCAGGUGCGAAAGCGUGGGGAGCAAACAGGAUUAGAUACCCUGGUAGUCCACGCCGUAAACGAUGUCUACUUGGAGGUUGUGCCCUUGAGGCGUGGCUUCCGGAGCUAACGCGUUAAGUAGACCGCCUGGGGAGUACGGCCGCAAGGUUAAAACUCAAAUGAAUUGACGGGGGCCCGCACAAGCGGUGGAGCAUGUGGUUUAAUUCGAUGCAACGCGAAGAACCUUACCUGGUCUUGACAUCCACAGAACUUUCCAGAGAUGGAUUGGUGCCUUCGGGAACUGUGAGACAGGUGCUGCAUGGCUGUCGUCAGCUCGUGUUGUGAAAUGUUGGGUUAAGUCCCGCAACGAGCGCAACCCUUAUCCUUUGUUGCCAGCGGUUAGGCCGGGAACUCAAAGGAGACUGCCAGUGAUAAACUGGAGGAAGGUGGGGAUGACGUCAAGUCAUCAUGGCCCUUACGACCAGGGCUACACACGUGCUACAAUGGCGCAUACAAAGAGAAGCGACCUCGCGAGAGCAAGCGGACCUCAUAAAGUGCGUCGUAGUCCGGAUUGGAGUCUGCAACUCGACUCCAUGAAGUCGGAAUCGCUAGUAAUCGUGGAUCAGAAUGCCACGGUGAAUACGUUCCCGGGCCUUGUACACACCGCCCGUCACACCAUGGGAGUGGGUUGCAAAAGAAGUAGGUAGCUUAACCUUCGGGAGGGCGCUUACCACUUUGUGAUUCAUGACUGGGGUGAAGUCGUAACAAGGUAACCGUAGGGGAACCUGCGGUUGGAUCACCUCCUUACCUUAAAGAA
RNAcentral lists this ribosomal RNA (1438 nucleotides) under Salmonella enterica subsp. enterica serovar Bareilly. RNAcentral's name for it is "bacterial SSU rRNA". It matches the Rfam family "Bacterial small subunit ribosomal RNA". The record is from RNAcentral. Lineage: Bacteria; Pseudomonadati; Pseudomonadota; Gammaproteobacteria; Enterobacterales; Enterobacteriaceae.